Molecule: ribosomal RNA, 652 nt
Filed under: Bacillus altitudinis
Lineage: Bacteria; Bacillati; Bacillota; Bacilli; Caryophanales; Bacillaceae
Description: bacterial SSU rRNA
Rfam family: Bacterial small subunit ribosomal RNA
Source: RNAcentral
AGCGGCGGAUGGGUGAGUAACACGUGGGUAACCUGCCUGUAAGACUGGGAUAACUCCGGGAAACCGGAGCUAAUACCGGAUAGUUCCUUGAACCGCAUGGUUCAAGGAUGAAAGACGGUUUCGGCUGUCACUUACAGAUGGACCCGCGGCGCAUUAGCUAGUUGGUGAGGUAACGGCUCACCAAGGCGACGAUGCGUAGCCGACCUGAGAGGGUGAUCGGCCACACUGGGACUGAGACACGGCCCAGACUCCUACGGGAGGCAGCAGUAGGGAAUCUUCCGCAAUGGACGAAAGUCUGACGGAGCAACGCCGCGUGAGUGAUGAAGGUUUUCGGAUCGUAAAGCUCUGUUGUUAGGGAAGAACAAGUGCAAGAGUAACUGCUUGCACCUUGACGGUACCUAACCAGAAAGCCACGGCUAACUACGUGCCAGCAGCCGCGGUAAUACGUAGGUGGCAAGCGUUGUCCGGAAUUAUUGGGCGUAAAGGGCUCGCAGGCGGUUUCUUAAGUCUGAUGUGAAAGCCCCCGGCUCAACCGGGGAGGGUCAUUGGAAACUGGGAAACUUGAGUGCAGAAGAGGAGAGUGGAAUUCCACGUGUAGCGGUGAAAUGCGUAGAGAUGUGGAGGAACACCAGUGGCGAAGGCGACUCUCUGG